Molecule: ribosomal RNA, 207 nt
Filed under: uncultured bacterium
Lineage: Bacteria
Description: partial 16S ribosomal RNA
Rfam family: Bacterial small subunit ribosomal RNA
Source: RNAcentral
CACGUAGGCGGAUAUUUAAGUCAGGGGUGAAAUCCCAGAGCUCAACUCUGGAACUGCCUUUGAUACUGGGUAUCUUGAGUAUGGAAGAGGUAAGUGGAAUUCCGAGUGUAGAGGUGAAAUUCGUAGAUAUUCGGAAGAACACCAGUGGCGAAGGCGACACACUGGCUCAUUACUGACGCUGAGGCUCGAAAGCGCGGGGAGCAAACA